AGCGAACGCUGGCGGCAGGCUUAACACAUGCAAGUCGAGCGCCCGUGGCAAUACGGGAGCGGCAGACGGGAGAGUAACACGUGGGAACGUGCCUUUUGGUUCGGAACAACCCAGGGAAACUUGGGCUAAUACCGGAUAAGCCCUUACGGGGAAGGAUUUAUCGCCAAAGAUCGGCCCGCGUCUGAUUAGCUAGUUGAUGAGGUAACGGCUCACCAAGGCUACGAUCAGUAGCUGGUCUGAGAGGAUGAUCAGCCUCACUGGGACUGAGACACGGCCCAGACUCCUACGGGAGGCAGCAGUGGGGAAGUAUUGGACAAUGGGCGCAAGCCUGAUCCAGCCAUGCCGCGUGGGUGAUG
RNAcentral lists this ribosomal RNA (356 nucleotides) under uncultured bacterium. Its description in RNAcentral is "bacterial SSU rRNA". It matches the Rfam family "Bacterial small subunit ribosomal RNA", at positions 29 to 410 of the family's 1533-position model. The record is from RNAcentral.